Molecule: unclassified non-coding RNA, 481 nt
Filed under: Hevea brasiliensis (rubber tree)
Lineage: Eukaryota; Viridiplantae; Streptophyta; Magnoliopsida; Malpighiales; Euphorbiaceae
Source: RNAcentral
UUGCUGUUUUCGUUGUUAUUGUCGUCAGGGGCCGAAAAGUCGAUCAAAUCAACCGGAAUCAGCCGCCGAUCAUCGCCCCGGUCAAUGUAGAACUCAAGAUGAUGAGGAACAGUCUCAGGCAAUUCAUCCUCUUUCUCACAACCAACUUGAACUGUUUUCUGAUUACAAGUGGUCAGAUCCUCAGCCAGCUCAAGAAAAUCCCCAUCUUUUUCAGCACCCAUUUCAGCUCUAUCAUCAUCAUCCUCAUGAACCGCCGAAUCUUUACAGCCACAACCACAAACAGAGCAAGUGGAGUUCUUCUCUGCCUCUUCCCCACCGGAAACAACAGAGAUUUCCCUGUUUCCGAUGACAUCUUCCGGUUGAGAAACAUGGAUUUCAUCAGUUUCCGCCUCAGAAAUCAAAUUCCCCUUCUGGGUAUAAUCCAAAUCCCCCCAAUUCGGUUUAAUCAAAAUACAAGGGGAAAACAAUCGACUCUUCAAAG